UUCCUCCUAGAGAUGAGUCUUUCUGGCAAAGAAGUAAUUGGAUGCUGCAGGUACAAAGUCUGUAAUACCUGGAGAAAGAUACACAAGAAUCCAUGACAAUCUAAGCGAUGAGCUCUGCACCUCUUCGUUCUCACUUCGCUGAAACGCUUCACCAAAAAUCUCAGCGCCGCCGCUACGUCCUCCUACUCCAGAAGAGAGAAGUGAAAGAUUACUACGUGGGGCUCAUUAAGACUGUUUUAUUUUGUCUGCAAUUUUUUCCCCCCGUCUAUUGUCUCUCCACCCUCUCAGCGAAAGUCUCGACGGAGUCACAGCCCUGGGUGCAUCGCAGCGAUGAGACAAAUGCAGAAAAUGAACUGGAAGAAAACAGGGAGGCGAGAAAAAUGCGCGGCUGGCCGACGAUGGCCGAAAACUCAAAGGAGAAAUGGUUACACUGCAUCGCCAGCUUGCCUCAUCUGAAUCCCUGACUCCUGACCUCCCCUGAGGAAGGUGCUCACUGUCAGAAGAACCCCCGGCAUCCUACCACCACAGAAAGGUGAUUCCUUUAAAGCACCAGAAACGGAUGAAGGAACGAGAGGGGGCUGCGCGAGGCAGGCAGACGGGGAGGGGAGCUGUCGCUUGUGUCAGGUUAACCUCAGAGACACAUCCGGAGCUCAGCAUCUGGGAGACGGAGGGGAGAGAGAGAGGCACCGCCGCUCCAUUUGGCGCAAUUUCACCACGGCAGCAACAGAUAGCAACAAAAGUCCCGUUGAGGUCUUUAAGGUUGUUAUUGGACAUUUUGAGCAGUGAAUCGUUUGGCAUUUGGUGUUCUGUGAGGAGCGACGGUGGGCAUGUGUUAACUACACACAGGACACUCGAGCGAAAACCAGACGCCCACCGAAUCCUUCAAUCUGUCAUUUCCUCUCGCAGCUCCCGAGCAAGAUAA
This is a long non-coding RNA of Cyprinus carpio (common carp), 922 nucleotides long. Lineage: Eukaryota; Metazoa; Chordata; Actinopteri; Cypriniformes; Cyprinidae. The record is from Ensembl.